CCUGAGGAGAAGAGGGUCAGCCUGAGCCUCGAGACUCUGCGGGCCCUGCCACCUCCUUUGAUCCCUGCCCGGGGACGUUGCUAGGACACGGUGGAGCUGUCCUGACCGCCCUCCAGCUCCAGGGCCUAGUAUCUGCUCCCUGAGCUGGAGGCCGCCCAGAGGAGCUCCGGGACCCCAGAAGGUGCCCAGUGGGGAGACCCACCAUGAGCACCGGUGCCCCCUCCUAAGCCAAGGAGCGCAGGACCGGAUGUGCGCAGGGGUCCUGCCCCCUCUGAGGACAACUGAGUGCCAGCACAGAGACGGUGGAUGGGCCGGCCCCGCUCACUGCACCGGCUCCCACUGUCAGGUAAGAAAGAUGCCUCGGGGGGCGGGGGGGAGGUCACCCACUGUGUCUUGCGGCCGGCAGGCUGGGGACCCUCCCGGGAGAGUGAGUGCUCCCGAGAAACCUGGAGCUGCCUGAGGAAGGAGGCCUGGCCUUGGCGCCUCUCACGGGUGAUGAAAAGAUCUGACGACGCGCAAAGCUAAGCUGUAAACACGCUUCAUAAUUUCUGCUCGUAAAAACGACACGUGGGAAGCGGCUGUAAAGCCACUUCUUAGGAACCAUCUCAGUCAGUCAGACAUAGUGUGUUGACAAGCCAUUCUCACACAGAACGCAAGCACCGUGACUCAGACAAUUAAGGCCAUCUCUCGCCCAUGCCCUGGCUUAUGCGCUGGAUGCUCUAUCUUUGCUCCGCCCCAGAAGCAAACCUCCAGAAGGCCAGGGACCUCUGCCAGGCGAGGACUUGGGAUAGAGCGUGGCACAAGACACCGCAGGCGGACGGCUCAAGGAAGGGAGAACAGGGCUGCCCUGAGUCCAGAGAUGAAAAGCAAGUUUGUUUCCAGCCAAGAGGCAGGAGGGCCGGGAAGAGGUAUCUGGCCCCCCACACAGCCCCUGCCGACUGUGGCCCCUGGCCCCCCAAUCCUGGGAAGCCAGCAACUGGCAGUUUAGGACUCUAGCCAACCCCGGAGCAAGGAGUAGCAGACUCCUAGCAGGCACGUGGUGCACCCAAGAUGCCUGCAAAGGGGGAAACUCCCAAGGGGACAGAGAGGCAGGAGGUACCCAGAGGGGAGCCCUCAGAGCACAGGGACGAGCCACCGAGCAGCAGGUGUGGGCCAGCCGGAGGUCAAGGGGGCGGGAAGGGGCCUGGCUAGAGGUGCCACCCAACCCCAGGGGAUUUGUUUUCCCAUAUGACACCAUCCAGGGCCAGAGCACGGCCCCACCCCCCACAUGACAACAUUCCUAUCCAGAAUGGCAACAGGUGAAUGUCCCUGUCCACAGGAAUGUCAGGCAGGGGAAGGGACAGCAUGGAGACAAGGACGGAUGUCCGGCUGCCUCCCUGAGACCUAUCAACUCCCCCGUCUCCCGCUGCACACCAGCAAGGCACUCGAACUUAAAAAGAGCCAUCAAGGAGGCUGACUGGGCACUAUACGCUCAUAAAAGCCAGGUGAGAAUCAGGGCAGGAGUUGCCACCCCCACAGGGGAGGGGACAGCCAAGGUCAGACAGCAGGUCCAGACAGGGCUGGAGCCACCAGUGCAUCCUGUGCAUACCCCAACCUGACCCAUCAGAGUGGACUGUGGGGUGGGGAGCAGGAACCAGGGUUGGCAGAAAAAUGGGGAAGAUUCCAGAAGGACCAGGGAAGGACCAGGGAAGCAGCAGGAGCAAGCAGCCAGCUCGUGACUGUGCACAAAGGGAGGACUCCCUGAGCGCAGGCCACACGCCUCCCCUCUCCUGGCGGGCAGGGCUUGGUGCCCAGUGCUCACUCUGGAGGGCCUCGGCCCUCCUCAGCCAGGCUUUGCUCUCAGGAGAGCAGAGGGUCACAGCAGCAAGGGUCCCUCGCCUCCAGCCCUAACCACAAACAGCUGUGCUGAGAGCCACACAUGGACAGACACUGGGAGACCGCGCCGGCUUACCCACGAUGUCGGGUGCGUGGCUGAUGUCUGUCGUUAAUGCGGCCGUCUCCACCACGAUGUGGGCCACCGUGAUGGGCUCCUCCGGGCCGGCCACCGCUGGCACCACCUGCCAUGGGGGGACAGGGGACAGAAAGGAUUCUCCUACAGGGCUCCAGAGUUCCCUUGGCUUGGAGAGGGAAGGCUUGGGUUUAUCUCCACAUGGGAAGGCUGCGGUGGGACCUGUCAUCUCCCCCGACAUCUCUCCCACCCUAGUCCCUCCAACCCAGGCCUAAGGGGUCAGCCCCGUCACUCAAAUGCCCCUGGCCACCAUGGGCCAGAUGCAGAGCAGCGAGCACCCUUGCAGAGGGCUCCCGGGAGAAGUGACCGGCAGUUCCAGCCCGAAGCCCAGCUGGCUGUGCAGGCAUGAAGGUCAGCACCCUCACCCACCAGCCCCAGCCAAGCUAUCAAGCGAUGUGGGUCCAGGGGCCUUCCUAGGGGAAAGGGCACCACCGGGAGGGGCCAGGAAAGAGCACAGGGUCUGAGGGAGAUGGCUGUAGUCCCACCGUCCUCUGGGCCAUUCCCUGUGACGAGCUGAGGCGGCUGACAUCUCCCAGAGCCUCCUUUCCCAAUGCCAUCCGACGAGGGGCCCGAGAACACCACCGUGCAAAGGUGCUGGGGACCUUCAGAGGCCUGGAUGCGUACAGCCCAAGCACGUGCAGCAUGACAACCUUGGCCAUGUUUAUGACAAAGUGGCAGGACUCCCAGAGCCACCCUUUGCAGGAUCCCGAGAAACCAUGUGUCAGGGGUGCCUGGGCGCUCAGGUGGUUGAGCAUCUGACUCUUGUUUCGGCUCAAGUCAUGAUCUCACAGUUGGUGAGUUCAAGCCCCACGUCAGGCUCUGUGCUGACAGUGCGGAGCCUGCUUGGGAUAUUCUCUCUCUCUCUCUCUUCCUCCCCCAGCCUCUGUCUCUCUCUCAAAAUAAAUAAAUAAAUUUUAAAAAGGAAAAGAAAAAGAAACCGUGCGUACAGGGCAGGAGAGAAGCCAAAAGAACAAAAGCCACCAUGACAGCCCUGAGCCACUGAGCCAGGACAGACCCUGAGGCUCCCUCCAAGAAAGGAGGGAUGUCAAUUGUGCAGGCUUCAGCCAGAGGCUGCUGGGAAGGCAGGGCCAUCCCAGGCCAUCCAGGAAACCAGGGAUACUGCCAAGCUCUUAGGGACAGGGCCCAGGCUCCCUCACCCAUGACCAGAUGCCUGUCCUCUGUCCACCCCCGUGCCACAGGGAACCGGCUGCACAGGUCUGUCAGGGCACGGCACACCCCUUCCCAGCCACCAGGUGAGCCCAAGGAGGAGGGCGCACAUGUGCGUGGACGUGUGGUGGCAGGUGGAGAGGGCUUACCUCCUGGCCCAGCAGCGCAGCAGCAGCAGGGGCGGCAGGCAGGGCCUCCUGAGGGGCCCGCUGGCAGACUUUCUGGAGUUUGUGCUGAACAAAGUCUUCCAAGGCAGUGAACUCGGCCUGGCAGCGGCCACAUCUGUGCACAUCGUCCUCAUCUGCAACAAGCCUGUGCUCAGUGGGGCCUGGGAGGGCCUCCAGCCCCAGGCCAAACCCACCGAAGGGUGCCAUCGGACCACAGGCACCUUCCAGCCCCUGGUGACCUGCGGAAGAGGUGCCCACCCCAGGGAGAACAGCAUCCAGCAGGUGGGGGCCCCAACCUGAGAGUUGGACUGCAGAGAUCCAGUGAGGCUGCCGUGCCCAAAGCCCCCACUUCAGAGAUGAGGGGACAGAGCCCCAGGGAGCAGCUAAGAGGUGGAGGGAUUCACCCAAGCCGGUCUGGGGACAGUGGAGGACCAGAGUUUAAGAUUGCUUCAUCGGCUCCGAACGGGCAGGAGCUCCCUCUUCUGGAGAAGACACUCAGGGUGGAACUUCCCAGAGAGGCUCCACACCCCAGGCUCAAGUCCCUCACCAUGUAGGCUGACCAUGCCUGCCCCAGGUCCUACAGCAGGCACUUCCCACUCACUGAGCCCCUCCUGGGUGCCAGGCACCUCACUGGGGAAGUCCCCAAAUCCAGCCAGCGCCCUGGGGAAAUAAGGAUGACUAUUCUCAUUCCAGGAAAAUAGUGCUCGCUUCGGCAGCACAUAUACUCAUUCCAGGAAAAGGACCUGAGAUUCAAGACCACCCAGCUGGUGAGUGUUCGGGCCAGAGUCUGAACCUGAGGGUCUACUCCAGAUGCCCCGCUAUUUGCACAAAGGGAUGGGAGGAUGUUGCUUGUGCUUCUGUAAAAGUCUGCCAGUUCCCACCACCUCACAUCCGGUCCCACAUCAAGGUCAAACCCAGGCCUGGCACACGGAAGGAGCCCAGUCCAUGUCUUUUGACUCAGUGAGCAAACAGAGGCCCACACCACACCCAUGACGGGCCCACACAAGACCACCUGUCAGAGGGCGAUCCCCUCCAGAUGGUUCGCAGUCACAAGCGAAGCACUGACGUGCCCACCACCCUUUUAACCUUCCCCCCUUGCUCUCCAAGUCUGACUCGCUGUUGCCAGCGAAGGAACACCCACCACAGAAGGGGACACACUCCGCCCCGUGUAACAGUGACAAGGCUGGGGGCAAGCACAGCAGGGCCCAGCAACCUCCGAAGAGAUCCCUCUCCAGGCUGGCACUGCCCCUAGUGGUACUGCCCCUCCCCCAGCUGGAAUAAGAAGGAGCAAGGAAAAACCAUGCGCUGAGAAUAGGAGUUCUGCGGAGACGGGGGCCACUACCCCAAUAUCGCCAGCCAGCCCCCCUCCUGUCUGGCCCAGUCUAUAGCCUCACGAGACAAGCUCGGAGGAGAGAGACCCAACUUCUGUCUGCACAAGCUGUCAGGGCGCCCGGUCGUCGGCUCUGCCCUCAGCCAGUUGCCACGGGCUCCGUCUUCCUUCUCACCGGGGUCCGGGGAGGCAGCGCAGCCGAGAAGUUAGGGGAGUCGGUUGAGGAGUCACACAGCCCCGGCAUCCAGUCCAGUCCUUGCUACUUACUAGCUGGGUGACCUGGUCACCUUCACACCUUUGAACCCCAAUUUCCCGCAUCCACAAAAUGGGAAUGAGUCACAACAACAACAACAACAACAACAACAACAACAACAAGAGCGUCCAGGGUUGGUUUGAGGACAAAAACGCUGAUGCCGGGUAAGUGCUUAACACGUUUUUAGCAGCAGCAGCGGCGGCGGCGGCAGCAGCAUCCCCUGCCCAGGACCAAACAGCCAGAAAGUGGCGAAAGUGGCAGGUGUGGGAUGGAGCCCGCAGGCCGGCUGCAGGGCACCGGCUCUCCACCACUGGGCUCUGCUGCCUCCCCGAGGGGCAGCCGGGGGCCUGGGGGCGAGGCCCCGCCCCACCGCACCCCCAGCCUCCAGCCCCACCCCAGCCAGGGCUCUAGAAACCCGUCAGGUGCAUUGGGAGGGGGCCCAGAGGAGGACGGGGCCUUGCCCAGACAGGGAGGCGAAGAGGCGCCUGACCGCCGGCCUGAGGGCCAAGGCCGCCAGUGGAGGCGACGGCAGAGGUCUACACACGAGCAGCCCCACAGCCUUGGGCACCUGUGAGUACCCGCGAGUGGGCACCGAGGCCCACGGGGUGAUGGGCGUCCCACAGGAGAGGCCCGAGGGUCUGAGGAAGCCGGGGAGCGCGUGGAGGGCCAUGCAGGACCCCUUGGGGACCCGUGAGGUCCGCAAGGAACCGGGGUCUGGGACGGUCGGUCGCGUCCACAGCUUAGGCCCUCGGAGCCGCCUCCAACCAGGACUGAGCCGUCCCCACCCCGGCCGCGCCCGACCCUGUCAGGCCCCGUCAGGCCCUGUUACCUUCUUCGCUAAAGGGCGCCGGGAGGCCGAGGAACCCGCCAGGAGCCAAGGCCGCCGCCGCCGCCGCGACCCCGCCCUCGCCCGCCUCCCGCCCGGCUUCGGCCCGGGCUUCUGCCGUAUGCGCGGCCGUCACCCGCACUGCCAUCGCGCCCUCCAUGUCGCAACGCGCCGCAGGAAGAUGGCGGAUUUACGACCGUGUCGUCAUAACAACGGGCCGCGCUGAGGCGAGCGAGAGAAAACGACGAGACGAGGCCGACGGGGCGGAGCCAGGUGAUAUUUAAUUAGCUCUAUGAAGCUAAGCACUUUACAGGAUUUUCUCAUUUAAGUACCAAUCGCCCCCAUUUUGAAGAUGAAGAAACUGAGGCACAGUACUGAUAGGACGCUUGCCCAAGGGCGGACUGGAGACGGAAGUCUGCACAGAGCCAUGGGCUGGAAACCCACAGGAUGUGCUCUCUCCCACAUCAGUUAUCUUCUGUGGCCCAGCCCUGUGCUGAAUCCCAGAGACUCAGAUGAAUCAGAACUGGUCUCCUCCAGGAAGGCUAAUCUCUAGAAAAGACCAAGCAGAGACUCAAGGGACGGGGCAGAGAGUAGACUGUUCUGCCCCGGCAAGGACACCAAGCAGAGACUGUCUCCAUGCUGGGGCUGCCCAGCUGGGCCCCCGAGGACCCUUGGCCUGGCAGAAGCUGGCCUGUGUGAAGCACAGGUCAGACGGUUGCUUUCUGCAUGAGGCUUGCUCGCCAAUGCAGGGGGAUAGGCAGACGGUGUGAACGCAUUUCAAAAGGAUCCCUCUGACUGCUGUGCGGAUAAAAGGACCUCAGGGCCCAUAGAGGCAAGAAGAUCCCAGAUGGAUGGUCUCUGAGAGGGACAAACCGGAGGAAGACCGGGGGCUGCGGGGAGCUUGUGGAGGGGGCUUCUGGGAAGGGAGGACCAGGAAGACACCUCACUUAAGGAUGUGCUGAAGAGUAAUGGUGAAGCCAUCAGAGAGAGAGAGGAAGCCCCAGAGGAAUGGGAUAGGGCAGGGUCUCAAAGGCAGAGGACCCCCUGAGUGUGGGUGGACACGAGGAGGAGCCGGCCCAGGGGAGACAGAGAGCCUGACUGCCGCGUGCUCCAGAACCGUGUCCGGAGCGGACCAAAGCUCCUGCCUGGAGGCUCCCUGGGAGUCAGGAAAGGGCAUCCUGCACCAGUGAGUCCCAGGUCCUGCGUUAGCGAGAGCCCAGGCAGGCCAGCGGGUACAGGGGCAGACAGGCCUAAGGUCACUGAGAGGCAGAGUGGCCAGAGAAAGACAGGAAAACCGGAGUCCCCACGCCCCCAAACAGCCUCCUCCCCGACCCAGCCCUCCGCGGCACGGGCUCCAGCGGCACCCUGUGUGUUUUUAGAGUCAGUGCUGUGCUGACCUGCCGUGGCCAGAGCCACGGAGACUCCAUCACCCUUUAUGAGGACUGCUCAACCUCUGUUCUUUGAUGGACGUAUUGAACCAGUCCCAUGCUGAAGAAUAUUUAGCUUGCUUCCGAAUUGUUUUGUGUGCCACUUGAGUCCUUUUGAAAUGACUCCCUUUUUUACUUCGCUCAUUGGAAGCAAUACCAUCUGCGAAGACAGAUUCAAUGGCUCCUCGCAUUUUCUAAUACAACUUUUUUCAUGUUUGCUUAUUUAUUUUGAGAGAGAGAGAGAGAGAGAGUGAGCAUGCAAGCAGGGGAGGGGCAGAGAGAGGGAGAGAGAAAGAAUCCCGAGCAGGCUCCUCACUGUCAGCGCAGAACCCCACGUGGGGCUCGAUCCCACGAACCAUGGGACCAUGACCUGAGCCGACAUCAAGAGUCAGACCCGGCCUGCUGAGCCCCCCGGGCACCCCCAUUAGUUCCUAAUACAAUUUAAAUCCAUGCAAGGCUGUUAAAAUUAAAUAGCGUCUGGUGUUUGUCCUUGUACCAUCUAAAUCCGUGCCCCAUAUAGCCCGCGGGGGGGAGGGGGGCUUCCUCACUUUGGGGAACCCUGGCGGCAUCCAUUCGCAGAUAUACACUGAACGUCUACCGUGUGUCGGGAACACAUCAUGACCAUGAUGCACUCCUCCCCCAUCUAUACAGGGCACCUCACUCAAGGUCAGCCCCCCUGCCAUAAAGUGCACUGUCCCUUCCGGCCUCCUGCAGGACCAUGACCACAACCACCUCCCCUCUCGACACUGGCCGCCCCACCUUUCCCAGUCCCUACAACCCACAGGACGUGUCAAACCAAUCAGGUAUGGCAGAGCUCCACUUUGGAGUCAACUGAGUUUGAUCCCAACCCUACCUCGUCCAGCCGGUGACUCUCUCUGGCUCAGUUUCCUCAUCCACGAAUGGGGACACUACUAGCCUCUGCCUCUUAGGGCUGUGAUGCAGGUGAGGAGCAGGGCUCAGUGCCUAGAUGCUUACCAGUGCCCAGGAGACCAAGGCACCCGGGCAGGUAUUGCACACGCUGGCCCAUGGCUGCACAGCAACAGCACUGGCCAGUGUACCAUAUACCCUGGAUGCUUCUGGGUGAAAGCAGUAUUUCUGAUCCUCUGUCUAAUCCAGCUCUUCCCCGCGUCAGCUCCACCACCAAAACUAAGCGGGAAGACACAGGGAGGAAGGUGCUCCCCUUGUGGGCAGUGGGUGCACCAGGCAGGAACACUUUGCAUGCCCUGCCUUUGUGGGCCACGGCCCCUCCAAUCUCCUCCAGGGGUUCCCAGGCCAACAGAGACCAGCAGAAACGAGCCACGUAUAAAUAAACAGGGCCCUAAGGGAACUGAGGUCACUGGUUUUACCUCAUGGGUUUGGGGGUGGGAGUGGGUCCAGAGCAGACUUUAUGGAGACCUGGGGCCCAAGAGAAGAGCAGGAGUUUGACACUCUGGGAGCUGGGGGUCUGGGGCACCUGUCACAGGGUAGGCUUUCAAGAAACCGGGCCCUUUGUAAUUCUGCUCCCUGGCCCUACUGGAAGUAAUAACGAUAAACAUACACCUACCUGUGAACUUGCAGUUCCGAUCGCAAUUAUAUUUCACCCAAGAGAAAUGAGUGCCUGGGUCCACAAAUGAGUGUGUAGGAACCAGAAUGUUCACAGAAGUAUUAUUUACAAUGCUCCUAAACUGCAAACGACCCAAUGUCCACCUACUGGAGAACAGACCGACGGAUGUAUUCUUACAAGGGCUCACAUGGCAAUUAAAACAACAGAAAAGGAUGGAUUUCCCAGACAUUGUGUCGAUCCAUAGCAGCGAGACUCAUGGCAAGUCUGUGAGACCAUCUGGAACAGGCAGAGGAGGCUAUGACUCAUCCCAUGGUGACAGAAGUCGGAAAAGUGGUUGGGGGAGGGGUAUCCGCUAUUGACUGGCUGAGGGACUGUGAGGGAACUUUCUGGAACGAGGGAAAUAUCCUCUGGCUUGAUGUGGGUUGUGUUCACACAGGCGUAUAGGUAUGGAAAAAUCCAUCAAGCUGCACACUUAAGGUCGAUGCACUUUUACUGUGUAUGAGGUCUCAAUAAAAGUUAACAAUGAUACCAAAUAAGAUGAUGGUAAGUGCUGUGUUCUACGCAGUGUCUUCUUAACCCCUAAACCUGCCGCCUUGUAAUAACUCGUUCGCAUGACCACUAAGGCAAUCCCGCCGCCUUAUAAUAAAUAACCCGUUCACAGUACCACUAAAGCACAGGGAGAGCGUUUAAAAAAAAAAAACAAAAACAUUUUUUUAUUUUACACUUAUUCAUUUUU
This is a long non-coding RNA of Felis catus (domestic cat), 9457 nucleotides long. RefSeq lists it as uncharacterized. The record is from RefSeq and is a predicted model, not a curated record. Lineage: Eukaryota; Metazoa; Chordata; Mammalia; Carnivora; Felidae. The transcript is spliced from 3 exons.